RNAcentral lists this ribosomal RNA (497 nucleotides) under uncultured bacterium. Its description in RNAcentral is "partial 16S ribosomal RNA". It matches the Rfam family "Bacterial small subunit ribosomal RNA", at positions 28 to 507 of the family's 1533-position model. The record is from RNAcentral.
GAUGAACGCUGGCGGCGUGCCUAAUACAUGCAAGUCGAGCGAACAGACGAGAAGCUUGCUCCUCUGACGUUAGCGGCGGACGGGUGAGUAACACGUAGGUAACCUACCUAUAAGACUGGGAUAACUUCGGGAAACCGGAGCUAAUACCGGAUGAUAUUUCGAACCGCAUGGUUCGAUAGUGAAAGAUGGCCUUGCUAUCACUUAUAGAUGGAUCUGCGCUGCAUUAGCUAGUUGGUAAGGUAACGGCUUACCAAGGCAACGAUACGUAGCCGACCUGAGAGGGUGAUCGGCCACACUGGAACUGAGACACGGUCCAGACUCCUACGGGAGGCAGCAGUAGGGAAUCUUCCGCAAUGGGCGAAAGCCUGACGGAGCAACGCCGCGUGAGUGAUGAAGGUCUUCGGAUCGUAAAACUCUGUUAUUAGGGAAGAACAAACGUGUAAGUAACUGUGCACAUCUUGACGGUACCUAAUCAGAAAGCCACGGCUAACUACGUG